This 1465-nucleotide long non-coding RNA is filed under the name Anas platyrhynchos (mallard). Its description in RNAcentral is "lncRNA (ENSAPLG00020018252.1)". Lineage: Eukaryota; Metazoa; Chordata; Aves; Anseriformes; Anatidae. The record is from RNAcentral.
CGAAACUCAGGCAGCAAAUCCUCACCUGGAAGCAAUGAUGCUAACUUAAACAAUGCUUUUAAAUGAACCUUGGAUCUGGUCAGCAACAUUGAUUUGGUUUUGACUGAUCAAAAAAACCUUUGACUGACUCAAAAAACCUUCCAUCUUCUCGGUAUUUUCCACUUUCACUGUCUACACUGUCCUGCCCUGCAUAAAUCUUAUUUAAAAGCUAAUUUCAACACAGCAUGUGCACUUAGUGUACACUGAUCAGUGAUGAGUCAUGUUCAGCUUGAUAAGGAAAUGAAUGAAAGCCCUUACAAUUUAAAAAGACUCAGUGUUCCCAUGGCUAGACCACACAGGAAAGCUGUGUUGGAAAGCUCUAAUUUCCAAUUUCCAAGUCCCUCUAUUGUUUCUGUCAGGUGGACCUGUUUUCCUUGCAAAACGUCAAGCAAUUUUCCUAUAUUUCAGCAAUAUGCUCUGCAGACACUGGAGUUUUUCAGUUCCCUAUUCAGGUCAAAGAGAUUUCAUAAGGUCUGUAGCUAGUGUACACAAGUCUGAAAAGGAAUAAUCAGUUAUCUCAGCAUCUCAGGAAUAGGCAAGGCUCUGUCAAGACUCUUCCUCUGUGUUACAAGUACCCAUGUGCUCUUGUAAGACCUUGUGCCAGAGUACGCUGUAACUUGCAAGAAGACAUUAAACUGGAAAAUAAAAUGUCGUCCCACUUCCAGUGCUGAAGAAGCAGCUUUCAGAUUCCAAGCUGCAGAUGGUGGUCCUGUGCAACUGGUGACAACGAAUACCAGCAGACUUCUGAAUCAGGUUUGCCAGCAGUGUAUGACAGUGUUGUGUCCAUGUGUGCUGUUGUACAUCAAUGGGAAGGACUCAAGAACUUACAGAUGUGCCAUCCUGCCACUCCUGGGGCUCCACAGAAACUGGGCUGAAUGCAAAAACUCCCACAGAACUCGGUCUUUCAGGCUGGCCAUAUGAGAUCCUGUGGGCAUCCACCAUGACUGCAGUCAAGAACACUACGCAAGUCAAGAACAAAGAGCUGGAAAUAGCAGCCCUCCGUAUCCGCAGCACGGAGGAAGGGGCGCUGUGCCCGGGCACAGCGCAGCCGUGGCACCCGUGGGUUCGGUCCCUCGCUGCUUGCGCUGCCAGCAGAGCCUCGGAUCCCCCUCAGCCUGUCUGGGCUCGGUGCGUAUUGGAAUUUCAUCUCCCCAGUCUGCUCCUGCAGACUUUUUUUUUUUUUAAUUCAUGUGGAAAAAAAAUAAUAAUGAGAGGGUAAAAUAAGCGGAGCGAGAGCGAGCAUCAAUAGCCCCAGCCCGUAGGCUCAGCGCCUUCCUGCAGAGCUCCCGCAGCAGGGCCCCGCUCAGCCCCGGCGCUGCCGCAGGGCCCCGGGCAGGGGCAGCACCCAGGGGUGCUGGGCGGGGGCUGAGCCCCGCUCCCUGCCCCGAGCCUUAGGGCCACGGCCGGGGGCGCUGGCACAGCCCCG